Molecule: ribosomal RNA, 506 nt
Filed under: uncultured bacterium
Lineage: Bacteria
Description: partial 16S ribosomal RNA
Rfam family: Bacterial small subunit ribosomal RNA
Source: RNAcentral
AGUGAACGCUGGCGGUAGGCCUAACACAUGCAAGUCGAACGGCAGCACAGAGGAGCUUGCUCCUUGGGUGGCGAGUGGCGGACGGGUGAGGAAUACAUCGGAAUCUACUCUGUCGUGGGGGAUAACGUAGGGAAACUUACGCUAAUACCGCAUACGACCUACGGGUGAAAGCAGGGGAUCUUCGGACCUUGCGCGAUUGAAUGAGCCGAUGUCGGAUUAGCUAGUUGGCGGGGUAAAGGCCCACCAAGGCGACGAUCCGUAGCUGGUCUGAGAGGAUGAUCAGCCACACGGGAACUGAGACACGGUCCAGACUCCUACGGGAGGCAGCAGUGGGGAAUAUUGGACAAUGGGCGCAAGCCUGAUCCAGCCAUACCGCGUGGGUGAAGAAGGCCUUCGGGUUGAAAAGCCCUUUUGUUGGGAAAGAAGUCCAUCUGGUUAAUACCCGGGUGGGAUGACGGUACCCAAAGAAUAAGCACCGGCUAACUUCGUGCCAGCCGCCGCCGUAA